RNAcentral lists this small nuclear RNA (185 nucleotides) under Capsicum annuum. RNAcentral describes it as "U2 spliceosomal RNA". It matches the Rfam family "U2 spliceosomal RNA". Rfam says of the family: U2 is a small nuclear RNA (snRNA) component of the spliceosome (involved in pre-mRNA splicing). The record is from Rfam by way of RNAcentral. Lineage: Eukaryota; Viridiplantae; Streptophyta; Magnoliopsida; Solanales; Solanaceae.
AUACCUUUCUCGGCCUUUUUGCUAAGAUCAAGUGUAGUAUAUGAUAAUAUCUGAUAUGUGGGCCAUUGUCUCACACGAUAUAAACUCAAUUUUUUGAGGGGGAAAGUCCAUCACAGUAGAUUGCUACUUGGGCCUUCACAUGUCGCCUAGGUGUUGCACUACAGCCUAGGCCUGGCGCACCCCAC